GUGCUUGCUUCGCCAGCACAUAUACUAAAGUUGGAAUGAUACAGAGAAGAUUAGCAUGGCCCCUGCACAAGGAUGACAUGCAAAUUCAUGAAGCAAUUCAUAUUUUU
Molecule: small nuclear RNA, 107 nt
Organism: Eptesicus fuscus (big brown bat)
Lineage: Eukaryota; Metazoa; Chordata; Mammalia; Chiroptera; Vespertilionidae
Source: RefSeq, a predicted model, not a curated record